RNAcentral lists this ribosomal RNA (1163 nucleotides) under uncultured organism. RNAcentral describes it as "bacterial SSU rRNA". It matches the Rfam family "Bacterial small subunit ribosomal RNA", at positions 216 to 1372 of the family's 1533-position model. The record is from RNAcentral.
CGUUUGGGGAGCAGCCUGCGUCCUAUCAGCUUGUUGGCGGGGUAACGGCCCACCAAGGCGAAGACGGGUAGCUGAUCUGAGAGGAUGAUCAGCCACACUGGGACUGAGACACGGCCCAGACUCCUACGGGAGGCAGCAGUAGGGAAUAUUGCGCAAUGGGGGAAACCCUGACGCAGCGACGCCGCGUGAGCGAAGAAGGCUUUAUUAGUCGUAAAGCUCUGUAGGGAGGGAAGAACCGCAGGUGGUAACGCAUCUGUCUGACGGUACCUCCAAAGUAAGGACCGGCUAAAUACGUGCCAGCAGCCGCGGUAAUACGUAUGGUCCGAGCGUUGUCCGGAAUUACUGGGCAUAAAGGGUGCGUAGGCGGAUGUGUAAGUCAGGUGUGAAAGCCCUCGGCUCAACCGGGGAAUUGCGCUUGAAACUGCACGUCUAGAGCAUGUCAGAGGCAGGCGGAAUUCCCGGAGUAGCAGUGAAAUGCGUAGAUAUCGGGAAGAACACCGGUGGCGAAGGCGGCCUGCUGGGACAGUGCUGACGCUGAGGCACGAAAGCGUGGGGAGCGAACGGGAUUAGAUACCCCGGUAGUCCACGCCGUAAACGAUGGAUACUAGAUGUUGGACACGCUGAAGUGUUCAGUGUCGAAACAAAUGCGAUAAGUAUCCCGCCUGGGGAGUACGACCGCAAGGUUUAAACUCAAAGGAAUUGACGGGGGCCCGCACAAGCGGUGGAGCAUGUGGUUUAAUUCGAUGCAACGCGAAGAACCUUACCCGGAUUUGACAUCCUUCGGACCGUCUCUGGAGACAGAGACUUUCUCUUCGGAGACCGAAGUGACAGGUGCUGCAUGGCUGUCGUCAGCUCGUGUUGUGAAAUGUUGGGUUAAGUCCCGCAACGAGCGCAACCCUUGUUCUUAGUUGCCAGCAUUAAGAUGGGCACUCUAAGAAGACUGCCGAGGUUAACUCGGAGGAAGGUGGGGAUGACGUCAAGUCCUCAUGGCCCUUAUGUCCGGGGCUACACACGUGCUACAAUGGUAUAGACAGAGGGAAGCUACGCCGCAAGGCCACGCGGAUCCUCAAACUGUAUCACAGUUCGGAUCGGGGUCUGCAACUCGACCUCGUGAAGGUGGAAUCGCUAGUAAUCGCGGAUCAGCAUGCCGCGGUGAAUAAGUU